GCCUUCGCCUUGUAUGUAUAGCAGCAGCAGAAACAGCAGCGCCGGUCUGAGCGAGAGAGACUGACGCCCGUGUGCAUGCAUGCGAAAGGAAAAACGCUCACUUGGAUGCAAUUUUCAUUAGUAAGAAAAUUGUGAGAACCUAAGGAAGGAAAGAAAAAAAAGCAAAAACAAAACGAAAAGAAAAACAUUCCAGACAGUACAAUUGCAACACGACGAAAUUGACAAUACAAUUGCGCAGAUAGUUGUAGAUCCCAGGGUCCAGAAGAGACUGUGCCAUACAAAAGGGGCACAGAGACUGUGUGUGUGUGCGCGUGUGUGUGUGUGUAUGUGCGGUGUGUGUGUUUGAAUCGACAACAACACCCAUAACAACAACAACAAUUGCAGCGCAGUCGAACAACAACUAAAAUGCGGCGGCAGUCAACGAUGCUGGCCGCGAUAUUACUGGCUGCCAUUUUAGGCAGCACAACGGCAAUGAACAAUUCCCCGCCGCGGAUCAUCAAACAGCCACCCACAGAUGAGCUGCUUUUCAAGGUGGCGCAACAGAACAAAGAGAGCGACAAGCCAUUCAUUAUCGAGUGCGAGGCCGAUGGACAACCGGAACCGGAAUAUAGAUGGAUCAAGAACGGCAAGAAGUUUGACUGGCAGGCGUACGACAAUCGUAUGCUGCGCCAGCCAGGACGUGGCACACUGGUGAUCACAUCACCCAAAGAUGAGGAUCUGGGACAGUAUCAGUGCUUUGCCUCCAAUGAGUUUGGCGUUGCCACAUCGAAUUCGGUGUUUGUGCGAAAGGCGGAGCUGAAUGCUUUCAAGGACGAGGCAGCCCGCAGCGUUGAGGCCGUCGAGGGUGAACCAUUCUCGCUGCAGUGCGAGGCGCCCGAUGGCUGGCCAAAGCCCACUGUCAACUGGCUGAUACAGCAGACCAUCGAUGCGGGCAUUAAGUCGAUCAACAAUUCACGCAUGACCCUCGACCCGGAGGGCACACUCUGGUUCUCCAAUGUGACACGCGAUGAUGCCAGCGGCGAUUUCUGGUAUGCCUGCUCGGCAACGUCGGUGUUCCGCAACGAGUACAAGAUCGGCAAUAAGAUACUGUUGGACGUCAAGCAGAUGGGCGUGAGUGCAUCCCAGAAUCGUUAUCCGCCCAAGCGUCAGUAUGUGACCCGCAAGAACGAGGUGGCGCUGCGCGGCAAACGUGUCGAACUGUUUUGCAUCUAUGGCGGCACACCGUUGCCGCAAACCGUCUGGUACAAGGAUGGAAAACGGGUGGAAUGGAACGAUCGCAUUACCCAAGGCAAUUAUGGUAAAUCUCUGGUUAUAAGGCAGGCCAAUUUCGACGAUGAGGGCACCUACAACUGUGACGUGUCCAAUGGUGUGGACCAGGCGCAAUCCUAUUCGAUCAAUUUGAAAAUUCAUGCCAUACCCUACUUCACCGAGGAGCCAGAGAUACAAAAUGCCGCCGAGGAUGAGGAGGUCAUAUUCAAUUGUAAGGCCGCCGGACAUCCGGAGCCGACCAUUCAAUGGAUACACAAUGGCAAGCCGAUUGCGCAAAGCGAACCAAAUCCUCGACGCACCGUUACCAACAACUACAUUAAGAUCGUGAAUCUGGUGAAGAAGGACACGGGCAAUUAUGGCUGCAACGCCACGAAUUCCCUUGGCUAUGUCUACAAGGAUGUGUACCUCAAUGUGCUCGCACUGCCCCCAGAGAUCCAGGAGCCACCACGUGCCGAGGCCACCGUCAACGGACGCAACAUCACAAUGCGUUGUCGCGUCUUUGGUGCACCCAAGCCCCAGGUGAAAUGGCGCCACAAUAAUAACUGGCUGACCGGUGGUCGUUACAAUGUGCUGCCAUCGGGCGAUCUGGAGAUACAGGAGGUGACCUUCGCUGACAAUGGCAAUUACACCUGCUUGGCGGUCAACAAGUUUGGCAAUGCGACGGCCGAUGGUUCAUUGGUGGUAAAGGAGCGCACCAGGAUUACACAGGAGCCGCAAAACUAUGAGGUCGCCGCCGGCCAAUCGGCCACAUUCCGUUGCAACGAAGCGCACGACGACACCUUGGACCUGGAGAUCGAAUGGCUGAAGGAUGGUCAACCGAUUGAUUUUGAUGCAGAGGCACGAUUUGUGAAGACCAACGACAAUUCACUGACAAUUGCCAAGACCAUGGAGCUGGAUUCGGGCGAAUACACGUGCGUUGCGCGCACUCAACUGGACGAGGCCACGGCCAAGGCGAAUCUUAUAGUGCAGGAUGUGCCGAAUGCGCCCCGUUUGAUAGGCAUCAUAUGCCAAGCCGAUAAGGCAAAGAUCUCCUGGGAGCCGCAAGGUGAUAAUCGCUCGCCCAUUCUACACUACACGAUCCAGUUCAACACAUCGUUCACGCCCGCCUCCUGGGAUACGGCAUACGAGAAGGUGCCCAGCACUGACUUCUCAUUUGUACUGCAAAUGUCGCCAUGGGCCAACUAUACGUACCGUGUGAUUGCCUUCAAUAAGAUCGGCCCAUCGCCGCCGUCGGGACAUAGCGAGGCGUGCACCACACAGCCGGAUGUGCCAUACAAGAAUCCGGACAACGUUGUCGGCCAGGGCACAGAGCCAACUAAUUUGGUCAUCACAUGGACACCGAUGCCGGAGAUCGAACAUAAUGCUCCGAACUUCCAAUAUCGUGUCAGCUGGAAGCGUGACAUACCCGCUGCGACCUGGGAGAACAAGGACAUCUAUGAUUGGCGCCAGAACAAUCUCCUGAUUCCCGAUCAGCCGACAUUCGUCAAAUAUCACAUCAAAGUGGUGGCUAUCAAUGAGCGCGGCGAAUCGAAUGUUGACGCCGAGGAGGUGAUCGGCUACUCUGGCGAGGACCGUCCCCUCGAGGCACCCACUAACUUUAGCAUGCAGCAAGUAACCAGUGCAACCCAUGCCUAUGUCGGCUGGAAUCCAGUUAGCCCGGAAUCGGUGCGCGGUCAUUUCAAGGGCUACAAGAUCCAAACCUGGACGGACAAGGAGGGCGAAGAGGGACUGCGUGAAAUACACACAAUCCAGAACGGGGCGCUCGUCACACAAUUCAAGCCCGACUCCAAGAACUAUGCCCGCGUCCUGGCUUACAAUGGACGCUUCAAUGGACCGCCCAGCGCUGUGAUUGACUUUGACACGCCCGAGGGUGUGCCGUCAUCAGUGCAAUCUCUGGAGGCUUAUCCGCUAGGCUCAUCAGCUUUCUGGCUAACCUGGAAGAAGCCGCUCAAUCCCAAUGGCAAGCUGACUGGCUACAAAAUCUACUAUGAGGUGGUCAAGGGCAGCUAUGUGGGCGAACGACGCGAAUAUGAACCCCAUAUCACCGAUCCUCGCAUCACACGCAUGAAAAUGGCCGGUCUGAAACCGAAGACCAAGUAUCGCAUCUCCAUCACAGCCACAACCAAAAUGGGCGAAGGCACCGAGCAUUACAUCGAGAAGACCACGCUGGGUGAAGAUGUUGAGCCGCCAUCCACACCAUCCCUAACUUGGGAGGCGAUCCAGUCGCCGAAUGGUCAGCCUACCUACCGUAUAAAUUGGGUGCCCAGCACUGAUGGCCGUUCGGGCUCACACUUCUUCACCAAGUACAGAAUCAAGGGCGAAACGGAAUGGACUAGCAAAGAACCCGAGAAAUCAGUCGACUAUCAGGAGGUGGGCAGCCUCGAUCCGGAUACAGUUUACGAGUUCCGCGUUGUGUCCGUCGAUGGACAUUAUCACACGGAGAGCGCCACACACGAGAUUGACACGAACAGCGCCGAGGGACCCAUAAUGGUGCGCAACGAGACUCUGGCGAAUGCCGGCUGGUUCAUUGGCAUGAUGUUGGCUCUGGCCAUCAUCAUUAUCCUGUUUAUCAUCAUUUGCAUUAUACGUCGCAAUCGUGGUGGCAAAUAUGAUGUGCACGAUCGCGAGCUGGCCAAUGGCAGGCGCGAUUAUCCGGAUGAGGGCGGUUUUCACGAGUACUCGCAACCUUUGGAUAACAAGAGCGCUGGUCGCCAAUCCGUUAGUUCAGCGAAUAAGCCCGGCGUGGAGAGCGAUACCGACUCGAUGGCCGAAUACGGCGAUGGCGAUACAGCUGUGACCACAGCCGCCGGUCAUGCUGCCACCGCUGCGCGCAAGGUGGGCAUCAAGCAGCCAUCGACCUUGCCCCAGCCUCACUUGCAGUCAUCGCCGCCGCCCUACGACAAAGCCAUGAGCCAACAAAUUCACUCAGCCUAGUCUCACAAUCAUCUUUCGAUUAUUUAUGUUUUUGCACAAACACACACACACACACACAGACGCACACACAGCAUAUAACUCUAACUGUGGGCGGCGACGGUGGCGGCGUUGGCUUCAUCUUUCUUCAACCAUUUCGUUCAGGCAUGAACGAAGAUGGUUCCUUUAUUGGUCAAUAUGGACGCAAAGGACUUUGAUUUAAUUUGUAAGCAGCGCGGCUU
RNA transcript from Drosophila novamexicana, 4421 nucleotides. It is a transcript of the gene named neuroglian, with no coding region annotated. The transcript has 9 exons. NCBI's taxonomy places the organism in Eukaryota, Metazoa, Arthropoda, Insecta, Diptera, Drosophilidae. The record is from RefSeq and is a predicted model, not a curated record.